GUCUCCUGGAAACGGGUGGUAAUGCCGGAUGCUCCGACUCCUCGCAUGGGGUGUCGGGAAAGAUUACAUCGGUAUGGGAUGGGGUCGCGUCCUAUCAGGUAGUCGGCGGGGUAACGGCCCACCGAGCCUACGACGGGUAGCCGGCCUGAGAGGGCGACCGGCCACAUUGGGACUGAGAUACGGCCCAGACUCCUACGGGAGGCAGCAGUGGGGAAUAUUGCACAAUGGGCGCAAGCCUGAUGCAGCGACGCCGCGUGCGGGAUGACGGCCUUCGGGUUGUAAACCGCUUUUGAUCGGGAGCAAGCCUUCGGGUGAGUGUACCUUUCGAAUAAGCACCGGCUAACUACGUGCCAGCAGCCGCGGUAAUACGUAGGGUGCAAGCGUUAUCCGGAAUUAUUGGGCGUAAAGGGCUCGUAGGCGGUUCGUCGCGUCCGGUGUGAAAGUCCAUCGCUUAACGGUGGAUCUGCGCCGGGUACGGGCGGGCUGGAGUGCGGUAGGGGAGACUGGAAUUCCCGGUGUAACGGUGGAAUGUGUAGAUAUCGGGAAGAACACCAC
This 555-nucleotide ribosomal RNA is filed under the name Bifidobacterium pseudocatenulatum. RNAcentral describes it as "bacterial SSU rRNA". It matches the Rfam family "Bacterial small subunit ribosomal RNA", at positions 145 to 712 of the family's 1533-position model. Lineage: Bacteria; Bacillati; Actinomycetota; Actinomycetes; Bifidobacteriales; Bifidobacteriaceae. The record is from RNAcentral.